RNAcentral lists this ribosomal RNA (253 nucleotides) under uncultured bacterium. RNAcentral describes it as "partial 16S ribosomal RNA". It matches the Rfam family "Bacterial small subunit ribosomal RNA", at positions 524 to 776 of the family's 1533-position model. The record is from RNAcentral.
UACGGAGGGAGCUAGCGUUGUUCGGAAUUACUGGGCGUAAAGCGCGCGUAGGCGGCUUUGUAAGUUAGAGGUGAAAGCCCGGAGCUCAACUCCGGAACUGCCUUUAAAACUGCAUCGCUUGAAUCCAGGAGAGGUGAGUGGAAUUCCGAGUGUAGAGGUGAAAUUCGUAGAUAUUCGGAAGAACACCAGUGGCGAAGGCGGCUCACUGGACUGGUAUUGACGCUGAGGUGCGAAAGCUAGGGGAGCAAACGGG